Molecule: ribosomal RNA, 425 nt
Filed under: uncultured bacterium
Lineage: Bacteria
Description: partial 16S ribosomal RNA
Rfam family: Bacterial small subunit ribosomal RNA
Source: RNAcentral
GUUAGGAAUAUUGGACAAUGGGCGAAAGCCUGAUCCAGCCAUGCCGCGUGAACGAUGAAGGCCUUCGGGAUGUAAAGUUCUUUAGCCGAUGAUUAUAAUGACUGUAGUCGGAAAAUAAGCCCCGGCUAACUUCGUGCCAGCAGCCGCGGUAAUACGAAGGGGGCGAGCGUUAUUCGGAAUUACUGGGCGUAAAGCGUGCGUAGGCGGUUUUGUAAGUUAGGAGUGAAAGCCCAGGGCUCAACCUUGGAAUUGCUCUUAAAACUGCAAGGCUCGAAUCUCGGAGAGGAUAGCUGAAUGUCCAGUGUAGCAGUGAAAUGCGUAGAUAUUGGAAGGAACACCAGUGGCGUAAGCGGCUAUCUGGACGAGUAUUGACGCUGAGGCACGAAAGCGUGGGGAUCAAACAGGAUUAGAUACCCUAGUAGUUC